GACGAACGCUGGCGGCGUGCUUAACACAUGCAAGUCGAGCGAGGCUCUUCCUUCGGGAAGAUGCCCUAGCGGCGAACGGGUGAGUAACACGUGGGCAACCUGCCCCUAGCACUGGGAUAACUCCGGGAAACCGGGGCUAAUACCGGAUAUGACCUCUGAGGGCAUCCUCCGGAGGUGGAAACGAAUUUUGGCUAGGGAUGGGCCCGCGGCCUAUCAGCUUGUUGGUGGGGUAAUGGCCUACCAAGGCGACGACGGGUAGCCGGCCUGAGAGGGCGACCGGCCACACUGGGACUGAGACACGGCCCAGACUCCUACGGGAGGCAGCAGUGGGGAAUAUUGCACAAUGGGCGAAAGCCUGAUGCAGCGACGCCGCGUGAGGGAUGACGGCCUUCGGGUUGUAAACCUCUUUCAGCAGGGACGAAGCGAAAGUGACGGUACCUGCAGAAGAAGCACCGGCCAACUACGUGCCAGCAGCCGCCGUAACAC
RNAcentral lists this ribosomal RNA (486 nucleotides) under uncultured bacterium. Its description in RNAcentral is "bacterial SSU rRNA". It matches the Rfam family "Bacterial small subunit ribosomal RNA", at positions 28 to 526 of the family's 1533-position model. The record is from RNAcentral.